UUGCUAGAAGAUGACGAGUGGCGGACGGGUGAGUAAUGCUUGGGAACUUGCCUUUGCGAGGGGGAUAACAGUUGGAAACGACUGCUAAUACCGCAUAAUGUCUUCGGACCAAACGGGGCUUCGGCUCCGGCGCAAAGAGAGGCCCAAGUGAGAUUAGCUAGUUGGUAAGGUAACGGCUUACCAAGGCGACGAUCUCUAGCUGUUCUGAGAGGAAGAUCAGCCACACUGGGACUGAGACACGGCCCAGACUCCUACGGGAGGCAGCAGUGGGGAAUAUUGCACAAUGGGGGAAACCCUGAUGCAGCCAUGCCGCGUGUGUGAAGAAGGCCUUCGGGUUGUAAAGCACUUUCAGUUGUGAGGAAAAGUUAGUAGUUAAUACCUGCUAGCCGUGACGUUAACAACAGAAGAAGCACCGGCUAACUCCGUGCCAGCAGCCGCGGUAAUACGGAGGGUGCGAGCGUUAAUCGGAAUUACUGGGCGUAAAGCGCACGCAGGCGGUUUGUUAAGCUAGAUGUGAAAGCCCCGGGCUCAACCUGGGAUGGUCAUUUAGAACUGGCAGACUAGAGUCUUGGAGAGGGGAGUGGAAUUCCAGGUGUAGC
RNAcentral lists this ribosomal RNA (599 nucleotides) under Alteromonas macleodii. RNAcentral describes it as "bacterial SSU rRNA". It matches the Rfam family "Bacterial small subunit ribosomal RNA", at positions 77 to 679 of the family's 1533-position model. The record is from RNAcentral. Lineage: Bacteria; Pseudomonadati; Pseudomonadota; Gammaproteobacteria; Alteromonadales; Alteromonadaceae.